UCCCCUGAGGUGCAACAGGUAGCACGCCCGGCUGUUAACCGGGAGGACCAGGUUCGAGUCCUGGUGGGGGAG
Molecule: transfer RNA, 72 nt
Filed under: Actinokineospora alba
Lineage: Bacteria; Bacillati; Actinomycetota; Actinomycetes; Pseudonocardiales; Pseudonocardiaceae
Description: Alloactinosynnema alba tRNA
Rfam family: tRNA
About the family: Transfer RNA (tRNA) molecules are approximately 80 nucleotides in length.
Source: Rfam by way of RNAcentral